This is an RNA transcript of Ailuropoda melanoleuca (giant panda), 5216 nucleotides long. It is a transcript of the gene named zinc finger protein 613, with no coding region annotated. The record is from RefSeq and is a predicted model, not a curated record. The transcript has 8 exons. Lineage: Eukaryota; Metazoa; Chordata; Mammalia; Carnivora; Ursidae.
GCGCGGAGGCCGGGCGUGGGCGCGGCAGGAGUAUUCGCGGAAGUGCAGCUUGUAGGAGGUCGCGGUGGGGUCACUAGAAAAUCGGGUCUGUGUGUGAUACGGUUUGUGGAACAGGAUGAGAGGUCUGAGGUGAUUGUGGGUUCCUGAGUGGGUGGAGGCGUGGGUUCCGUUGGGGAGAGGAAGCAAGUGGGAGCCCGUGACUGGGAGUCUGUGGGUGCUGUGGCUUUGGAGUCGGUUCUGAAGGAUUGUGGGGGUCAGUGAUUACAGCCCACAGGUCCUACUCUAGGAGCAAGAUCCAACAAGUAAAGCAAGGACGAGGUCUCAGGACCUGUGUGUGGUCAUUGUGGGGACACCAUUGACCAGAGACCAAGAUUUCAGGAAUUGAGGGGAAUUCAAGAAGAAACUAAACACACAAUUCCCCAUUACUGGCUGUUUUCCAGUAACAGAAGAAAAUGAUUAAGGACCAGUAAGUAGAGGAACACGCACAUGAAACAGGGCCAUGUUGUUACGGGAAUCGCUGACACUGGAGGAUGUGGCUGUGGACUUCACCUGGGAGGAGUGGCAGCUCCUGGCCCCCACCCAGAAGAACCUGUACCGGGAUGUGAUGUUGGAGAACUAUAGGAACCUGGUGUCAGUGGGGUACGUGGCCAGCAAGCCUGACGCACUUUCCAGAUUGGAACAAGAGGAACCGUGGACGACAGAAGAUGAAAUCCACAGUCGAUUCCAUCCAGAGAUCAAGAAAGAUGAUGGUCAUCUACAGGGGCCCUUGCAAAAUCAAAGAUGUCUAAAGAGAAUGAAACAAUGCCAUGAACAUAAUGCAUUUGGAAACAUCAUUCAUCAGAGUAAACGUAAUUUUCCCUUAAGGCAAAAUCAUGAUAUCUUUGACUUACAUGGGAAAACACUGAAAUCAAAUUUAAGUUUAGUCAACCAGGACAGAAGCCAUGAAGUAAAGAACCUCACUGAGGUUGAUGGAGAUAUGAAAUCCUUCUCCCAUACAAAGCAUGACCGGUAUUGUAUUGAAAUUAAAUUUCCUGAAUGUGGGAAUUCUGUGAAUACAAAUUCCCAAUUCAUCAAACAUCAAAGAACUCAAAAGAUAGAGAAACCCCAUGUAUGCAGUGAAUGUGGGAAAGGCUUCUUCAAAAAGUCUCGGCUCAUGGAUCAUCAGAGAGUUCACACGGGAGAGAAGCCUCAUGGGUGCAGUGUAUGUGGGAAAGCCUUUUCCAGAAAGUCCAGACUCACUGAACAUCAGAAAACUCACGUAGGAGAGAAGCGGUAUGAAUGCUCUGAAUGUGACAAGGCAUUCCCCAAGAAAUCACGGCUACUCAUGCAUCAGAAAACUCAUACAGGAGAGAAACCCUAUGUGUGCAGUGAGUGUGGAAAAGGCUUCAUCAAGAAGUCUCGGCUCAUUAACCAUCAGAGAGUUCACACAGGAGAGAAGCCUCACGGAUGCAGUCUGUGUGACAAAGCAUUCUCCAGAAAGUCCAGGCUCAUUGAACACCAGAGAACUCAUACGGGAGAAAAACCUUAUGAAUGCACUGAAUGUGACAAAACGUUCCGCUGGAAGUCACAGCUCAAUGCCCAUCAGAAGACUCACACAGGAGAGAAAUCGUAUAUAUGCAGUGAUUGCGGAAAAGGCUUCAUUCAGAAGGGCAAUCUCAUUGUACAUCAGCGAACGCAUACUGGGGAGAAGCCUUAUAUAUGCAGUGAGUGUGGGAAAGGUUUCAUUCAGAAGGGCAAUCUCCUUAUACAUCAACGAACUCACACUGGAGAGAAACCUUACGUAUGCACCGAAUGUGGGAAAGGCUUUAGCCAGAAGACAUGCCUCAUAUCACAUCAGCGAUUUCACACUGGGAAGACGCCCUUUGUGUGUACUGAGUGUGGAAAAUCCUGUUCACACAAGUCUGGUCUCAUUAACCACCAGAGAAUUCACACAGGAGAGAAACCCUAUACCUGCAGUGACUGUGGGAAGGCUUUUAGAGAUAAGUCGUGCCUUAACCGACACCGGAGAACUCAUACAGGAGAGAGGCCUUAUGGAUGUGCUGACUGUGGGAAGGCUUUCUCUCACCUGUCAUGCCUCGUUUACCAUAAGGGAAUGUUGCAUGCAAGAGAGAAAGUUGCACGUUCAGGCGCGUUGGAGAAUCCUUUUUCAGAGAGCCACAGCUCAUCCCUUUCAAAUGAUAGCAUGCAGGAGAAAGACCCUGUUAACAUGGUGUCCGUGCAGAUGCCUUCUGUAGCAGCGCAGACUUCCUUACACCUCCGUGGGCUCCUAGAGGAUAGGAACAUAGCCACUGUGGGACAGCCAGGUGCCAGGUGCGCACCAUCAGCAGAUAACAGAAUUUGCACAGGGAAACCUUUUGACUGCAGUGAAUGUGGUAGUGCCUUCACUGAUCAGUUACGUCAUAUUUUAUGUCACAAAAAGCACACAGGAAUAAAGUGUGAUACGAUCAAGGUGGAAAACCCUUGACUAAAACCUAGCUCAUUAUGUGGCUGAUAAGCGUAUAUGGAGACAAAUAGUAUAAAGACCAGGAGUAGUAUAAAGACAUAGUAUAAAGAUUGGAAAAGCCUUUGUGGAAAGAUAGACCUUACUGGUGUAUCAUAGGUCACAUCAUCAGUGAGCUCAUAGCUGGUAGAAAUACAAUGACCCUGGAAUACCCCUUCCCCAGAAAUAAGACUUCAGUAGGUGGCAGAGAGUUCACACAGAAGAACAGCUGGAAGAGCUCUGAAGGCAGUGAAUGUGGCAGGGUUGUCAGUGGAGCAUUCUGCCUCAUGAGUUGGCAGAGGAAAUCCUCCAGAAGCAAAACUCUGAACACGCCAACCGCGGAACAUCUUUGGCAAAGUACCAGAAAACACGUAAAGCAAAUAAGCCCUGUGAAAAUGAACAUUUUAGAGAUUUCUGCCACCAGUCUAACAUCAUUUUACUUCAGAUAAUGUACAUAGUGUACAUUUUAGGACACUAUACCUUGAAUCAAACUCACUGAUAUGAUGUCACUCUUUAAUUUGAAGGAGGGUAUAUACUGCACAUUAAUCGUUACAGUUAUAACAGUGCACUUCCUCCCUUUUCAGGGGGAGGGCGUGAAUCUUUUCAUUCCCACCCACGAUCAUUAUAUGGUUAGCUCUUGUGUUUCUUUGGUUCUAAAUUUAUUCAGUUUAUUUUAGGCUACUGAAGUCUGUCCUUCCACUUCAAAAGGAAAGUGAAUACAUUUGAUUCAAUAAUAUAGCAUAGUGUGUUUGGAUGUGUUUAACUUUGUAAAUAUCACCCAAAGGAACAACUGCUCAGAACUCACGAAUAACCUGUCAGCCAGGUUCUUUCCCUAGAAGAUAGUUCACAUCCGAUACACACACCACUUAGAAAACCUUUCAUCAACUGCUCCCUUUACCUAGUUCUGUUCUAGAACCUACAGAUGCUGACAGUGAUGAACUGAACAAAAGUUUUUGCUGCCUUUGAACUGGCUUUUUUUUUUUUUUAAGAUUUUAUUUAUUUAUUUAUUUAUUUGAGAGCACAAGGAGGGGAAGUAGAAGGCAGAGGGAGAGGGAGAAGCAGGGAGACUGAUGUGGGGCUGGAUCCCAGAACCCAGGGAUCAUAACCUUAGCCGAAGGCAGACACUUAACCGACUGAGCUACUGAGUUACCCCUAAACCGGCAUUUUUUUAAAAGCUGGAUUAUAUGUAUGUAGCAAUUUGACCCUCCAGCAAAUGUAAUCAAUGUAUACACCUACAUCAGUUGAAAAGGACAUACCGUAGAAGGUACAAAGUAUCCCGGUAAUUUCUUAUUCAAGGGGCAUAUUAUGGAGAGGGGGUGGGAAUGGAUUCACUUAGUUUUAGGUAUGUAAAAUAGGAUAUGGAGACUUUUUAAAAAAGAUUCAUCUCUCUCCACUUGGAUUGUAAAUGUCUGCCUGGAUAGUUUAUAAUAGAUGGUCAUAUAUUCCCAGCACAUAGCAAAAUAGAAAUGAAUUACAUAGUUUCGAAAGGUGAUUGAAAGUGAAUGCAUGACCUAAAUGAAUGACCUAACAGACUAAUCAACCAAGCGUAUUUUUGUCACUGAACAAAAGGAACUAUGGGAAAGAAAUUUCAAAGAUCAAUAUUAUCCCAAGAAACAAAAAAGAAUCCUGAAUAGAGGCCUCUGGCAAUAUAGAAGGGGCAGAUCAGCAAAGGAAUAGGAUCCACAGAAAAGCCUAAUUAAUGGAAGAAAAUGACCUCACUUUAAAAAUUGAGGACAGUGUGUUAGAUGAGUGGAGGCGAGAUUCCGUCAGAUAUCGUGGAGAAGAUCCCAGACUCUGGUCCACAGUCUGCUACCUGUUAGAGUUGCCAGCAUCUCAGGGAUCCCGGCUCUUCUGUGAUGUGAUGAACGGAGACAUGAUGUAGCAUCAUCAUCCUUAUUGUCAUGGGAAUGGGGCCCGUGUCAUCUCUUCUGUACUCAGGGUUCUUUCCCUUGGUUCAAUAAAGAUCUGUCCAGCUUAGAAGCUGGAAGUCCUGCUUAUAAGGGAAAAAAGUGGAAAUUUGCCACGGAGUGGCUGUUUUCAUAAUUGAAUUCCAAACUUGUGAGUGAAUUACUCAAUUCAAUACUACAAACACUUUAUUUUUUUAUUUUUUUAUUUUGAGCAUCUGCACUGUGCCAGGCCCUGUUGUAGACAUGGGAUACUCUGGUGAACAAAACAUGCAAAAUAAUGGCCUCUAACCGGAUGGAUGUGGGGAGAUGUUCUUCAAAGAACCAGAAAUGGAUUCUUCCUUGACUCAGUCUUCAGGUCCUCUCUGCCCCUUGUCUUGUGAAUCUGCACAUCAUAUCAUGCUGGUCGGCGUCCUCCUUAAAUCUGCAGUCAGGGCCCCUGAAUGGGCUGCCUGAUCUACCCUGAACCUGAGGACCAGUGGCUGAACUCACCUUUCCGAGGUGGCAUCCCAGGAAUUGCUGACACUGGAGGAUGUGGCUGUGGACUUCACCUGGGAGGAGUGGCAGCUCCUGGCCCCCACCCAGAAGAACCUGUACCGGGACAUGAUGUUGGAGAAUUAUAGGAAUCUGGUGUCAGUAGGAUAUCAAGCUAGCAGACCAGAUGUGCUCUCCAGGCUGGAAUGAGGGCAAGAACUGUGGGCGAUAGAAGGAGAAGUCCACAUUCUAACCCAUCCAGGCGGAGAGCAGAAGAGGAAUGGGAUGCCCAAGAUUAGUAAAAUAAAAGGCAUGAGAACCUCAGUUUAAGAUGGAAGAAAGCUGGAAUAUGAAAAGAG